UCAGGGGUCUCACAGCCUUCAGAGCUGAGAGCCCCGAACAGAGAUUUACCCACAUAUUUAUUGACAGCAAGCCAGUGAUAAGCAUUGUUUCUAUAGAUUAUAGAUUUACUAAAAGUAUUCCUUACGGGAAACAAAGGAAUGGGCUGAAACAAAGGGAUGGGCUCUGGCUAGUCAUCUGCAGCAGGAACAAGUCCCUAAGGCACAGAUCGCUCGUGCUAUUGUUUGUGGCUUAGGAACACCUGAAGCUGUUUUCCAUCCUGGGUGGGCCAGGCAUUCCUUGCACUCAUUCCAGUAAACCGACAGCCUUCCAGGGCAUUGUGGCCACCAUGAACACAUCACAGUGCUGCAGAGAUUUUGUUUAUGGCCAGUUUUGGGGCCAGUUUAUGGCCAGAUUUGGGGGCCUGUUCCCAACACCUGGGUAUGUGCAGAUACACUGUCUAGUAUGAGAGUCACAGAGUGGGUGUCUUGUGUUCGCUUCUUGCCUAACAGCAGCAACCCUAUCACUGUCUCCUGUAGCUGGGACAAGCUGGUCAAGGUAUGGAAUCUGGCUAACUGCAAACUGAAGACCAACCACAUUGGCCACACAGGUUAUCUGAACACUGUGACUGUCUCUCCGGAUGGAUCCCUCUGUGCAUCUGGAGGCAAGGAUGGCCAGGCCAUGCUAUGGGAUCUCAAUGAAGGCAAACACCUUUAUAUGCUAGAUGGUGGGGGCAUUAUCAACACCCUAUGCUUCAGUACCAACUGCUACUGGCUCUGUGUUGUCGUGGGCCCGGGCAUCAAGAUCUGGGACUUAUCAUCGUAGAUGAACUGACGCAAGAAGUUAUCAGUACUGGCAGCAAGGCAGAACUGCCCCAGUGUACCUCCCUGGCCUGGUCUGUUGAUGGUCAUUUGUUUGCUGGCUACACAGACAACCUGGUGUGAGUGUGGCAGGUGACAUGGGCACCUGCUAGAAGUUUAUGA
Macaca mulatta (Rhesus monkey) is the source of this 960-nucleotide non-coding RNA. Lineage: Eukaryota; Metazoa; Chordata; Mammalia; Primates; Cercopithecidae. The record is from RefSeq and is a predicted model, not a curated record.